This 329-nucleotide ribosomal RNA is filed under the name uncultured eukaryote. Its description in RNAcentral is "partial 18S ribosomal RNA". It matches the Rfam family "Eukaryotic small subunit ribosomal RNA", at positions 1470 to 1796 of the family's 1831-position model. The record is from RNAcentral.
CCCUUAGAUGUUCUGGGCCGCACGCGCGCUACACUGAUGCAUUCAACGAGUCUAAAACCUGCUCUGAUAGGGGUGGGUAAUCUUUUGAAUGUGCAUCGUGAUUGGGAUAGAUGAUUGCAAUUUUUCAUCUUCAACGAGGAAUGCCUAGUAAACGCAAGUCAUCAGCUUGUAUUGAUUACGUCCCUGCCCUUUGUACACACCGCCCGUCGCUCCUACCGAUUGAAUGAUCCGAUGAAUAUCAUGGAUUGAGGAUUAUAGCAGGUUCGCCUGUCUUGAUCUUCGAGAAGUGAAGUAAAUCUUAUCAUUUAGAGGAAGGAGAAGUCGUAACA